Molecule: ribosomal RNA, 238 nt
Filed under: uncultured bacterium
Lineage: Bacteria
Description: partial 16S ribosomal RNA
Rfam family: Bacterial small subunit ribosomal RNA
Source: RNAcentral
CGUGAGCAAUCUGCCUUUGGAUGGGGGAUAACAGCCGGAAACGACUGCUAAUACCGCAUGAUGCAGCGGGGUCGCAUGAUUUUGCUGCCAAAGAUUUAUCGUCCAAAGAUGAGCUCGCGUCUGAUUAGCCAGUUGGCGGGGUAACGGCCCACCAAAGCGACGAUCAGUAGCCGGACUGAGAGGUUGAACGGCCACAUUGGGACUGAGACACGGCCCAGACUCCUACGGAAGGCAGCAG